Molecule: ribosomal RNA, 567 nt
Filed under: uncultured bacterium
Lineage: Bacteria
Description: partial 16S ribosomal RNA
Rfam family: Bacterial small subunit ribosomal RNA
Source: RNAcentral
UGGGGAAUAUUGCACAAUGGGCGAAAGCCUGAUGCAGCAACGCCGCGUGAGUGAUGAAGGCCUUCGGGUUGUAAAGCUCUGUCUUUUGGGACGAUAAUGACGGUACCAAAGGAGGAAGCCACGGCUAACUACGUGCCAGCAGCCGCGGUAAUACGUAGGUGGCGAGCGUUGUCCGGAUUUACUGGGCGUAAAGGAUGCGUAGGCGGAUUUUUAAGUGAGAUGUGAAAACCCUAAGCUUAACUUGGGGACUGCAUUUCAUACUGGAAAUCUAGAGUGCGGGAGAGGAGAAUGGAAUUCCUAGUGUAGCGGUGAAAUGCGUAGAGAUUAGGAAGAACACCAGUGGCGAAGGCGAUUUCNCUGGACCGUAACUGACGCUGAGGCAUGAAAGCGUGGGUAGCAAACAGGAUUAGAUACCCUGGUAGUCCACGCCGUAAACGAUGAGUACUAGGUGUAGGAGGUAUCGACCCCUUCUGUGCCGCAGUUAACACAAUAAGUACUCCGCCUGGGAAGUACGAUCGCAAGAUUAAAAACUCAAAUGAAUUGACGGGGGUCAUAGCUGUUUUUCCU